AUGACCAAAAAACGUUCAAAAUAGCAGUUUUGGUCUGAUCAUCGUAAUUAAGCCACUUCGGGCCCGGCUGAUACUUGAAUCGGUGACCGAAAGGGAAUAUUGGGUGUUGCGGCU
This 114-nucleotide ribosomal RNA is filed under the name Fasciola gigantica. The record is from RNAcentral. Lineage: Eukaryota; Metazoa; Platyhelminthes; Trematoda; Plagiorchiida; Fasciolidae.